RNAcentral lists this ribosomal RNA (282 nucleotides) under uncultured bacterium. RNAcentral's name for it is "partial 16S ribosomal RNA". It matches the Rfam family "Bacterial small subunit ribosomal RNA", at positions 335 to 610 of the family's 1533-position model. The record is from RNAcentral.
ACUCCUACGGGAGGCAGCAGUGGGAAUAUUGCGCAAUGGGCGAAAGCCUGACGCAGCAAUGCCGCGUGAGUGAGGAAGGCCUUCGGGUUGUAAACUCUGUCAGAUAGGAAGAAUUGCCAAGGGUCCAAUAGGCCCUUGGAGUGACGGUACUAUCAAAGGAAGCACCGGCUAACUUCGUGCCAGCAGCCGCGGUAAUACGAAGGGUGCAAGCGUUGUUCGGAUUUAUUGGGCGUAAAGCGCGCGCAGGCGGGCAGCUAAGUCAGAUGUGAAAUCUCGGGGCUC